RNAcentral lists this ribosomal RNA (484 nucleotides) under uncultured bacterium. Its description in RNAcentral is "partial 16S ribosomal RNA". It matches the Rfam family "Bacterial small subunit ribosomal RNA", at positions 30 to 507 of the family's 1533-position model. The record is from RNAcentral.
AUUGAACGCUGGCGGCAGGCCUAACACAUGCAAGUCGAGCGGAUGAAGGGAGCUUGCUCCUGGAUUCAGCGGCGGACGGGUGAGUAAUGCCUAGGAAUCUGCCUGGUAGUGGGGGAUAACGUCCGGAAACGGGCGCUAAUACCGCAUACGUCCUGAGGGAGAAAGUGGGGGAUCUUCGGACCUCACGCUAUCAGAUGAGCCUAGGUCGGAUUAGCUAGUUGGUGGGGUAAAGGCCUACCAAGGCGACGAUCCGUAACUGGUCUGAGAGGAUGAUCAGUCACACUGGAACCGAGACACGGUCCAGACUCCUACGGGAGGCAGCAGUGGGGAAUAUUGGACAAUGGGCGAAAGCCUGAUCCAGCCAUGCCGCGUGUGUGAAGAAGGUCUUCGGAUUGUAAAGCACUUUAAGUUGGGAGGAAGGGCAGUAAAUUAAUACCUUGCUGUUUUGACGUUACCAACAGAAUAAGCACCGGCUAACUUCGUG